RNAcentral lists this non-coding RNA (32 nucleotides) under Rattus norvegicus (Norway rat). The record is from RNAcentral. Lineage: Eukaryota; Metazoa; Chordata; Mammalia; Rodentia; Muridae.
ACACACAGAUGGCUUGCAUAUGACAUGCCAAG